AUGGAAAGCUUAAAUUUUCAGCCCAAGCCAUAUAUUAGAUAUCAAGUUCAUGAAGAUGAUGUGGUUGAUGAUAAUGAUGAUGAUGUGGUUGAUGAUAAUGAUGAUGUGGUUGAUGAUAAUGAUGAUGUGGUUGAUGAUAAUGAUGAUAUGUAUGAUGAUGGUGAAGAAAUAGGUCAAGAAUGA
Molecule: non-coding RNA, 183 nt
Organism: Vicia faba (fava bean)
Lineage: Eukaryota; Viridiplantae; Streptophyta; Magnoliopsida; Fabales; Fabaceae
Source: the annotation of a GenBank genome assembly